This 232-nucleotide ribosomal RNA is filed under the name Thraustochytriidae sp. Its description in RNAcentral is "Thraustochytriaceae sp. partial small subunit ribosomal RNA". It matches the Rfam family "Eukaryotic small subunit ribosomal RNA", at positions 1065 to 1296 of the family's 1831-position model. Lineage: Eukaryota; Bigyra; Thraustochytrida; Thraustochytriidae. The record is from RNAcentral.
ACACUGUUCAUGUGGGCAGCAGCACAUGAGAAAUCAAAGUCUUUGGGUUCCGGGGGGAGUAUGGUCGCAAGGCUGAAACUUAAAGGAAUUGACGGAAGGGCACCACCAGGAGUGGAGCCUGCGGCUUAAUUUGACUCAACACGGGAACACUUACCAGGUCCAGACAUAGGAAGGAUUGACAGAUUGAGAGCUCUUUCUUGAUUCUAUGGGUGAUGGUGCAUGGCCGUUCCUA